AAUUCUCAAAACCCUUUCUUUUUGGUCUUUUUGAUCAGGGGAAGGAUUUUGGACUUGGAGGCCUUUUGCUGGUUUCGUCUUGAAGCGAGCUCCUCCCAAAUGAAUUAGUGGGGUCUGCUUUGCCGAUCCUUGGCGUGAUAAGUUGUUUCUACGUCUUGGGUUUUUGGCACUGUACGCCUGCUUCUAACCGUCUCAUCGACAAUGAUGGUGUUCCGGUCACCGCCGAUUCGUCGGUGGGGGGCUUGACCCACAGAAUGAAC
Molecule: unclassified non-coding RNA, 260 nt
Filed under: uncultured Russula
Lineage: Eukaryota; Fungi; Basidiomycota; Agaricomycetes; Russulales; Russulaceae
Description: sequence contains ITS2
Source: RNAcentral